UGCAAACUGCGAAUACCGGAGAAUGUUAUCACGGGAGACACACGGCGGGUGCUAACGUCCGUCGUGAAGAGGGAAACAACCCAGACCGCCAGCUAAGGUCCCAAAGUCAUGGUUAAGUGGGAAACGAUGUGGGAAGGCCCAGACAGCCAGGAUGUUGGCUUAGAAGCAGCCAUCAUUUAAAGAAAGCGUAAUAGCUCACUGGUCGAGUCGGCCUGCGCGGAAGAUGUAACGGGGCUAAACCAUGCACCGAAGCUGCGGCAGCGACACUAUGUGUUGUUGGGUAGGGGAGCGUUCUGUAAGCCUGUGAAGGUGGCCUGUGAGGGUUGCUGGAGGUAUCAGAAGUGCGAAUGCUGACAUAAGUAACGAUAAAGCGGGUGAAAAGCCCGCUCGCCGGAAGACCAAGGGUUCCUGUCCAACGUUAAUCGGGGCAGGGUGAGUCGACCCCUAAGGCGAGGCCGAAAGGCGUAGUCGAUGGGAAACAGGUUAAUAUUCCUGUACUUGGUGUUACUGCGAAGGGGGGACGGAGAAGGCUAUGUUGGCCGGGCGACGGUUGUCCCGGUUUAAGCGUGUAGGCUGGUUUUCCAGGCAAAUCCGGAAAACCAAGGCUGAGGCGUGAUGACGAGGCACUACGGUGCUGAAGCGACAAAUGCCCUGCUUCCAGGAAAAGCCUCUAAGCAUCAGGUAACAUCAAAUCGUACCCCAAACCGACACAGGUGGUCAGGUAGAGAAUACCAAGGCGCUUGAGAGAACUCGGGUGAAGGAACUAGGCAAAAUGGUGCCGUAACUUCGGGAGAAGGCACGCUGAUAUGUAGGUGAAGCGACUUGCUCGUGGAGCUGAAAUCAGUCGAAGAUACCAGCUGGCUGCAACUGUUUAUUAAAAACACAGCACUGUGCAAACACGAAAGUGGACGUAUACGGUGUGACGCCUGCCCGGUGCCGGAAG
Molecule: ribosomal RNA, 943 nt
Filed under: Escherichia coli
Lineage: Bacteria; Pseudomonadati; Pseudomonadota; Gammaproteobacteria; Enterobacterales; Enterobacteriaceae
Description: bacterial LSU rRNA
Rfam family: Bacterial large subunit ribosomal RNA
Source: RNAcentral